CUGCUUUGAAGACUGCCUUUUCUUCUCAUUUUUCUUCAUACCUUUUGCAUUCAGAACAGAUUUACCUUUUAUUGGCAUUUCAACUAAUUUUGGUCUCUCCUCAGAUGAAAAAUUCUUUGUGUGUUUUUCUUCUGUCAUUUUUUCAUUCUUCCUUAGAGCAAGCUUUUCUUUUACUGGUUGAUUGGUAAUAUUGCCUGCUGGUGUAUUUAAUUUAUCAAGGUCUUCCUGUUUCUCCACUGCUUGCACUUUGAAAUGUUUCUGCUUCCUUUUUUCUUUCUCAACCCGUCUCCCAUAGUUUUCAAUGGCAUCCUUGACCAUCCCUUUUUCAGCUGAUGACGGCACAUGAAAGACAGAUUCUGAGCACUCACCUUCAAUAUCGUCUACAUCUCCUAAACUCAAUUCCUC
This 405-nucleotide long non-coding RNA is filed under the name Gallus gallus (chicken). Lineage: Eukaryota; Metazoa; Chordata; Aves; Galliformes; Phasianidae. The record is from RNAcentral.